GAUGAACGCUGGCGGCGUGCCUAAUACAUGCAAGUCGAGCGAACAGACGAGGAGCUUGCUCCUCUGACGUUAGCGGCGGACGGGUGAGUAACACGUGGAUAACCUACCUAUAAGACUGGGAUAACUUCGGGAAACCGGAGCUAAUACCGGAUAAUAUAUUGAACCGCAUGGUUCAAUAGUGAAAGACGGUUUUGCUGUCACUUAUAGAUGGAUCCGCGCCGCAUUAGCUAGUUGGUAAGGUAACGGCUUACCAAGGCAACGAUGCGUAGCCGACCUGAGAGGGUGAUCGGCCACACUGGAACUGAGACACGGUCCAGACUCCUACGGGAGGCAGCAGUAGGGAAUCUUCCGCAAAGGGCGAAAGCCUGACGGAGCAACGCCGCGUGAGUGAUGAAGGUCUUCGGAUCGUAAAACUCUGUUAUUAGGGAAGAACAAAUGUGUAAGUAACUAUGCACGUCUUGACGGUACCUAAUCAGAAAGCCACGGCUAACUACAUG
RNAcentral lists this ribosomal RNA (497 nucleotides) under uncultured bacterium. Its description in RNAcentral is "partial 16S ribosomal RNA". It matches the Rfam family "Bacterial small subunit ribosomal RNA", at positions 28 to 507 of the family's 1533-position model. The record is from RNAcentral.